AACAGGAUUAGAUACCCUGGUAGUCCACGCCGUAAACGAUGUCGACUUGGAGGUUGUGCCCUUGAGGCGUGGCUUCCGGGGCUAACGCGUUAAGUCGACCGCCUGGGGAGUACGGCCGCAAGGUUAAAACUCAAAUGAAUUGACGGGGGCCCGCACAAGCGGUGGAGCAUGUGGUUUAAUUCGAUGCAACGCGAAGAACCUUACCUACUCUUGACAUCCAGAGAACUUAGCAGAGAUGCUUUGGUGCCUUCGGGAACUCUGAGACAGGUGCUGCAUGGCUGUCGUCAGCUCGUGUUGUGAAAUGUUGGGUUAAGUCCCGCAACGAGCGCAACCCUUAUCCUUCGUUGCCAGCGGUUCGGCCGGGAACUCAAAGGAGACUGCCAGUGAUAAACUGGAGGAAGGUGGGGAUGACGUCAAGUCAUCAUGGCCCUUACGAGUAGGGCUACACACGUGCUACAAUGGCAUAUACAAAGAGAAGCGACCUCGCGAGAGCAAGCGGACCUCAUAAAGUAUGUCGUAGUCCGGAUUGGAGUCUGCAACUCGACUCCAUGAAGUCGGAAUCGCUAGUAAUCGUGGAUCAGAAUGCCACGGUGAAUACGUUCCCGGGCCUUGUACACACCGCCCGUCACACCAUGGGAGUGGGUUGCAAAAGAAGUAGGUAGCUUAACCUUCGGGAGGGCGCUUACCACUUUGUGAUUCAUGACUGGGGUGAAGUCGUAACAAGGUAACC
RNAcentral lists this ribosomal RNA (730 nucleotides) under uncultured bacterium. RNAcentral's name for it is "bacterial SSU rRNA". It matches the Rfam family "Bacterial small subunit ribosomal RNA", at positions 771 to 1501 of the family's 1533-position model. The record is from RNAcentral.